AGGAGCAACAGCCCUAGUGGCGGGGCAGCUCUGGAAACCUGGAUUCAGCCCCCGCAGGAACUCCGUCUGCAGGGCCUGGAGGCUCCGGGGCGGA
RNAcentral lists this microRNA precursor (94 nucleotides) under Canis lupus familiaris (dog). Its description in RNAcentral is "mir-8834 microRNA precursor family". It matches the Rfam family "mir-8834 microRNA precursor family". RNAcentral also lists the same sequence under 1 other name. Lineage: Eukaryota; Metazoa; Chordata; Mammalia; Carnivora; Canidae. The record is from Rfam by way of RNAcentral.